This 253-nucleotide ribosomal RNA is filed under the name uncultured bacterium. Its description in RNAcentral is "partial 16S ribosomal RNA". It matches the Rfam family "Bacterial small subunit ribosomal RNA", at positions 524 to 776 of the family's 1533-position model. The record is from RNAcentral.
UACGAAGGGGGCGAGCGUUGUUCGGAUUUACUGGGCGUAAAGGGCGCGUAGGCGGCCUGUUAAGUCGAACGUGAAAUCCCCGGGCUCAACCCGGGAACUGCGUCCGAUACUGGCAGGCUUGAAUCCGGGAGAGGGAUGCGGAAUUCCAGGUGUAGCGGUGAAAUGCGUAGAUAUCGGGAGGAACACCAGUGGCGAAGGCGACUACCUGGCCUGUUCUUGACGCUGAGGCGCGAAAGCUAGGGGAGCAAACGGG